RNAcentral lists this non-coding RNA (110 nucleotides) under Psychrobacillus sp. FJAT-21963. RNAcentral describes it as "SAM riboswitch aptamer (S box leader)". It matches the Rfam family "SAM riboswitch aptamer (S box leader)". From Rfam's summary of the family: The SAM riboswitch is found upstream of a number of genes which code for proteins involved in methionine or cysteine biosynthesis in Gram-positive bacteria. The SAM riboswitch acts at the level of transcription termination control. RNAcentral also lists the same sequence under 1 other name. Lineage: Bacteria; Bacillati; Bacillota; Bacilli; Caryophanales; Bacillaceae. The record is from Rfam by way of RNAcentral.
CUCUUAUUAAGAGAGGUGGAGGGAAGUGCCCGAUGAAACCCAGCAACCGUCAUGUAAAUGAAAUGGUGCCAAAUCACUCAAAGCGUAAAAAAUGCUUUGGAAAAUGAGAG